UGGGGAAUAUUGCACAAUGGGCGCAAGCCUGAUGCAGCCAUGCCGCGUGUGUGAAGAAGGCCUUCGGGUUGUAAAGCACUUUCAGCGAGGAGGAAGGCAGUCGUGUUAAUAGCACGAUUGAUUGACGUUACUCGCAGAAGAAGCAACGGCUAACUCCGUGCCAGCAGCCGCGGUAAUACGGAGGGUGCAAGCGUUAAUCGGAAUUACUGGGCGUAAAGCGCACGCAGGCGGUUUGUUAAGUCAGAUGUGAAAUCCCCGCGCUUAACGUGGGAACUGCAUUUGAAACUGGCAAGCUAGCGUCUUGUAGAGGGGGGUAGAAUUCCAGGUGUAGCGGUGAAAUGCGUAGAGAUCUGUAGGAAUACCGGUGGCGAAGGCGGCCCCCUGGAGAAAGACUGACGCUCAGGUGCGAAAGCGUGGGGAGCAACCA
Molecule: ribosomal RNA, 427 nt
Filed under: uncultured bacterium
Lineage: Bacteria
Description: partial 16S ribosomal RNA
Rfam family: Bacterial small subunit ribosomal RNA
Source: RNAcentral